CUAAUGUCUAAAGAAGAAAUUCAUUCGCGUUUCGACUGUCGAAGUUGAAUGUUUGUAUGACGGAUAGCGUUUCGGCGUCGUCCGCUUCUUAUGUUCUUCGUGUCGAUGUCAGAACGCGUGCACUUUUCCUCUAAGUAGGACGUCGCGAUCCGUUGGGUGUCUGUCUAAGACUCGAGGUGGAGCCCGCGUAAUUUUUAAUUAUGCGGACCCUUGAUGUUCCGACAGACUCGCUCGACGGUAUGCUAAUGGCGCGGGGCCGCUACUUUAGUUAGCGUUCGGCCCGUAGCAAGCACGUUCUGUGUUUGACGGCGAUCGGACCUAGUGCCGAUUCUGUCCCGGAAUGUGUUGGUUACGGUGUUCUCGAACAGACCUCGGAUGAAACGCCGAUCAGCGACGCUCUAGAUUUGGGUACUUUCAGGACCCGUCUUGAAACACGGAC
Molecule: ribosomal RNA, 439 nt
Filed under: Amphelasma sexlineatum
Lineage: Eukaryota; Metazoa; Arthropoda; Insecta; Coleoptera; Chrysomelidae
Description: eukaryotic LSU rRNA
Source: RNAcentral